This 497-nucleotide ribosomal RNA is filed under the name uncultured bacterium. RNAcentral describes it as "partial 16S ribosomal RNA". It matches the Rfam family "Bacterial small subunit ribosomal RNA", at positions 28 to 507 of the family's 1533-position model. The record is from RNAcentral.
GAUGAACGCUGGCGGCGUGCCUAAUACAUGCAAGUCGAGCGAACGGACGAGAAGCUUGCUUCUCUGAUGUUAGCGGCGGACGGGUGAGUAACACGUGGAUAACCUACCUAUAAGACUGGGAUAACUUCGGGAAACCGGAGCUAAUACCGGAUAAUAUUUUGAACCGCAUGGUUCAAAAGUGAAAGACGGUCUUGCUGUCACUUAUAGAUGGAUCCGCGCUGCAUUAGCUAGUUGGUAAGGUCACGGCUUACCAAGGCAACGAUGCAUAGCCGACCUGAGAGGGUGAUCGGCCACACUGGAACUGAGACACGGUCCAGACUCCUACGGGAGGCAGCAGUAGGGAAUCUUCCGCAAUGGGCGAAAGCCUGACGGAGCAACGCCGCGUGAGUGAUGAAGGUCUUCGGAUCGUAAAACUCUGUUAUGAGGGAAGAACAUAUGUGUAAGUAACUGUGCACAUCUUGACGGUACCUAAUCAGAAAGCCACGGCUAACUACGUG